CUCUACAUUCCACAAGACACUGAAUGUCAUCCUCCCUCCCUGCUCUCUCCUCGCUGGCUUCUCUGGUCCUCUCUCCCUCGUUUCUCCAAUCCUCUGCUGCGGCGACGGGUACCUGACUUGGAGGCCUCGUCGGCGGGAACGAAGGCCGACAGGGCGGGUGUGGCGGCUCGUGGUCGCGGCAACGACGGCAUGCAGACCGGCGCGGCGGCGGCGGGAACAUGGGGCGGGUGCGGUGGCGUCGGCUCGUAGGCCAGCGCGGCAGCGAGAAGCAGGAAGGGAAGCGGCGAAAAUCAGGAGAGUUAUUGUUUAUUCAAGAUGAUUACAGAAGACCACGUAUAGCCUACGAAUCAUGUCUUGCCUUCUAUGAUUCUAACCUGAAUUAAGUGUGAUACGAAUUUGGUGAUUCUGAAUUCGGAUGAUAUGGAAUUGCAUAGAGGUGGGAAUUGCGCCGGAGGUGGAGAUAUUGUUCCUCGCGGUCUGUAAUUUCUGCAUUCUGUAAUGUUAGAGAUGGGAACUACUGGAGGAGCACAUAUUUGAGGUUUUAGAGGUUGAUCUCCCACUGCUUGCUCAUGGAAAAACUGGCUAGGACUAUCAACCCGCAAGAACAUAGAGAACCAUCAACAAAUUGGAUUAUGGAUUGUUGAGUGUGAUAAAAGGAAACCAUGGUAUGCUCAUGAGUUUCUACAACAAAUAUCUCGGACCAUUAGUCUGGUGGGUUUAAUAGACUUCUUCAGACUUUCUUUGGAGGUGCUUGAGUUUCUGCGAGCUUGAGGGUUUGUACAACAGGGAAGUCAAGUUCAAAUUGAGAAUCACAACAUGCUGGCACAUAUAGUAAACUUGGUACAAUGUAUGUAGUUUGACUUUGUUCAAACGAUUACUCUUUACAUAGCAGGGAUAGCAUUGUAAGAAGCGGUCAGCAAAACAACUGCUGAGAUUAAAGCUAGGUAAAUGAACCCCUCUAUGACCAACAUUCAGACAUUUGCCCAUGUCUAAUAUUCUUUGUGUGCUCCGUUCGAAAGAUGCAAUGAAGUAUUUUUGUGUUGUCAAGUAGAUUUGUAGUGAUUAUAAGCUCUAGGAGUAAAAAUCAUUAUGCCUGGCUGCUCCUGCAACAUCUGCUCACACGCAGGUAACUGGUGGUGUACAUGGCAACAUAGUUCAUGUCGAUGCUCAGAUUGUGGAUUGGAGAUCCAUCUCGGCGGUGUGAUUAGUUUUUUUUCUUGGUAAGAGGGCCUAACUUCGUCUAAUGGAUUGUUACCUGCAUUAAUUUGCUAACCCGAUCAAUCCAUGCAUGUUUCCAUGGAUCUUUCUUUACAUUGCUCUUUGUGUGCAAUCAAAUCCAAACCUUUUGUUUAUGACCUUGUCAGUUAGUACAUGGGGAUUUAUUAGCUGCAUGAUGAUGUACCAAUCCGAUCCAUUCAUCCUGGAAUGAAUUAUGUCCUUUAUUGCCGAAGUACAAAUCCAACCAAAAGUGGAUAUGCAAACACAUGUGACUAUAAUUAAGGGAUUUGGAGCGAUGCUCAUGCCGGCACAGUCACUAUUUAAUGUUGAAUACAUUCCUUUAAUGGAACUACAAUUUUAAGGAAACUACAACCUCACUAUUUAUAACAUGAGUAGUAUGUUUGCAUGAGCGGUAAGAGAAAACUUUACUGAAUUUUCGUCUCCUUAGAAGAGAGACAAACCGAAAGAGUAAUCUGUUGGUACAUUUGAUGUUGAAUCAUCGAGAUACAUUUCAGCGAAGUGAUUUGUUUGUUGGAA
This is a long non-coding RNA of Lolium perenne, 1755 nucleotides long. RefSeq lists it as uncharacterized. Lineage: Eukaryota; Viridiplantae; Streptophyta; Magnoliopsida; Poales; Poaceae. The record is from RefSeq and is a predicted model, not a curated record.